Molecule: RNA transcript, 1491 nt
Organism: Cyanidioschyzon merolae strain 10D
Lineage: Eukaryota; Rhodophyta; Bangiophyceae; Cyanidiales; Cyanidiaceae
Exons: 1
Source: RefSeq, a predicted model, not a curated record
AUGGGUACUCCGCGCUAGCUAUCUUGUAGCGUUCAUAUAGAGCAAGCUGCUGUACGGCGGCUGCGGUAGAGGUGGAGACGGCAAAGUUCCCUGCUCGCUUGACUGCCUAGCGCAGGCACGUUGCUCAACGAAGUUUUCUUUUCCUACAGCCGGUGCCUGUAGCGCACGAGGUGCGUCUCGGUUGAUGGGGUACUUUCGGUUCCCUGAGCCUCACGCACGGCUUUUGGAGCUCACUCAGUCUGCUUCCUUAACUUUAAGUGACUGCAGGAGCCGUUUGAAGGCAGAGGCACGAGAGAGCACCCUGUCAAGCAAUUUCGAGCACUCGGCUCUGGACUUGUAACCGCUUUGGCUCUUUGCUGCUGACUGGUUAUUUCAUAGCGCAGCUGGUCACUGAUUCCACGACGAACUGGGGAGCUUGUCACCAUGGGCUCACUGGACAAGCUUUUCCUGUGCACCUAGACGGCGUCUCCGUUGUGAAGCUGUCCUUGGAAUCGACGUCAGCGAGACUAUCGUUCACUGAGGUAUACUCAGCUGCGAGACGAGCCUCGUGUUCUUGCAUACGACACCAGAAUAGAAAUCGCCUUUUCAGGCCUAUUUAUUUAUUCGUUGCGUGUCACAGAGUAUAGUAGCACAGCGGGCGUUGACUGCACCGAGCAAGAACGCUGUCCGGAAGAACGUUACGUAUUAGGUUCUUCUUGCCAGUUGUCUUGUAGAACCUUGGGAGCGAUUGCGGAUGGAUACCCCUCGUAUUCGAAACUCACGUGUACAGUUCCUAUUCUAGAGUGAGCCUCAGGUUAAAAGAGACAGCGAAUGAGCAGCGUCCAGAACAUUAGCAGAGAACGUUGAACGAAUGGCAACUGCGGUGUCGGACCAUACAGCGAUUCGCCUCUUGGGCCCAACGAAGGCAGCAAUGUUGCAGACUAUGCAACGUCUAUGAUCUCGUAUGCAUGUCUUGUUCGUCUCUUUGCCGACGGAGAGUGCAGCUUCUUGACUCUCUAUGUUUCUUCGAGCCCAAAAGAUGCACAGCCACUUUCAACUGGCGAAACGGGUUCGGAGAUCGUGUCUCGAAAGGGUCCAAGUUUGAAGCAUUUCUCCCACGUUGCAGUGGUACCGGGGUUAUGGCACAUGUUGCCGCAAGCAAAACAUCAUCAGAAGCGUUGCCUGUAUUCAAACUGCAAGUGGCGCUCUCGGCACGAACGUAGCAACUUGUUUUCGCUUCCGGAUGAUUCCAUUCAGUUUUUCCGUGCUGAAGCAGUUCACAGCACCACAACGCCAUCAUGUCUCUGCAGGCGAUAGCGGCCAUAGCGGCGGCGGCGCAUAUGACGAUGCUGGAUAGAUCGAAAUUCCGUCUCGGAAGGCAAGCCUCUUGUGGGGAUGUCGAAGCUCAGACGGAUCUGGGGAGUUGCCGUGGUUUCGUCCCUGAUUACAGACUGCUGCAGCGACGCCGUGGGAGAAGUCUGAUUCGAAUAUUUGAUUUUGCACUAUAAAAUU